Long non-coding RNA from Coregonus clupeaformis (lake whitefish), 818 nucleotides. RefSeq lists it as uncharacterized. NCBI's taxonomy places the organism in Eukaryota, Metazoa, Chordata, Actinopteri, Salmoniformes, Salmonidae. The transcript is spliced from 3 exons. The record is from RefSeq and is a predicted model, not a curated record.
GCCAGGGUUGAGGGUUCGUUUCCCACGGGGGGCCAGUAUGAAAAUACGGAAAGGGCUGGCUCUCACUUCUAGACAUGUCUGAUGCUAGGGCAUCAGUGCUGGACAAGAAGAUGCCUUUCAGGCUGCUGAGGACCAUUGGUGUCCUGUAUGUCCCUGCAUCAACAGAGGAGAGAAGGAAGACGGUCCACCCACCAAUCAUCCCAUCCCCAGGCUCCUACCCAGUCCACGCCCACGCUCCAGUUUCCUCCAAUCUACAGGCUACCGAGACCACACCAAAGACAUUUGAAGGCUGGGCCAACUCAUACUAUACACAGGGGAGCCCUGUUCAGCUCUCAGGUUAUUAUGGUCACAACCAUGGAUAUGUCCUCAAGCAUAGCUUUGGGCCAAGUCAUGGACAUAGUCACUAACACAGCUCCGGCCAUGGACACAGUCAUGGGCACACAUAUGCCUCUCAAACCACUAGUCACUGGGAUCCAGUGGCUCAACAUCUACAUUCUCAACAUUCCCACCUCAGUCCACUGUCUGUGUCUGUCAGUGCCCCCCAGAGUUUCACAGCAAACAUGCCAGAGUCACUGCCAGGAUCUGUGAUGGUUCACCCAGGGGCACCUGUGUCUUCACUGACAGAUUGUUGACAUAGAAAACACAUUGAAUGACAGAGCUAUCUCAUAUGUUAUACGUUGAGAUAUAAUAUGCUUGGACAUGGGGUUUGAGGCAGUACUUAAAGGUACAUGGUUUCUUCACUGAUGAUUUUGGUUUCAAGAAACAAGCAGGCUCUGAAUGUUCAAGGUCAAAUCAAUACAAGAAGGUUUUGAUUGUCA